CUUGUUUAGUAUUUGUUCUUCUGUAUUAGUAUUUGAUAGGUAAGCUAUCAAAAGGAUAAUUUCACAUUACCAAAAACAUUCUAGAAUUUGCUUCUUUAAAACCGUACUGCACAGGUAUCUGGUAACUCGCUGUGAAAUGACUGCACCAUGCAUGCGCACCUUUGGGCAGCAAACAGAAUAUCGAUGUAAUGGUGUCAAGGUUGAGUAAUAAACUUAGGUUUCUGGUUGUUAACAGUAGUAGGGUCUUAGGACAAAUAUGUGAAAAGCUGGUGAUUUUCCUGUUGGCACUUAUCAGGUAAAUUGAUGCUUUCAGAUGAAUCAAUUUACACUAUUUAUUAAAACUGCUCAGCUUGGUUCUACAACCAUCUAUUGAGUGUAUUCUCAUGGGUGGGGGCAAUUUUCUAGAUACUAGGGACAUAAAAAUCAUUAAAACAAAAUCCUUCCCUUAAGACAAAUGAAUAAACUGAAAUGGCCCUUGUUAAAAAAAUAUCAAACUCAUUCUGAGAAUUAGUUCAAUUUAUUUCCUCUUUAUCUGGUUCAGGAACAGGUGUGUUACAACUGUGAGGGCAGUUUUCUCAGUUAGUUUUUCUGAUUGGUUACCAAUAAAUGUCAAGCAAACAAAGAAGGGGGCGUAUAUCAGCUGAGAUCAAACACUGUAAUUAAUAUAGAAAGGUACACCUCAAUCUGGA
This 689-nucleotide long non-coding RNA is filed under the name Marmota monax (woodchuck). Lineage: Eukaryota; Metazoa; Chordata; Mammalia; Rodentia; Sciuridae. The record is from RNAcentral.